RNAcentral lists this ribosomal RNA (465 nucleotides) under Vreelandella stevensii. RNAcentral describes it as "partial 16S ribosomal RNA". It matches the Rfam family "Bacterial small subunit ribosomal RNA", at positions 338 to 795 of the family's 1533-position model. Lineage: Bacteria; Pseudomonadati; Pseudomonadota; Gammaproteobacteria; Oceanospirillales; Halomonadaceae. The record is from RNAcentral.
UCUACGGGCGGCAGCAGUGGGGAAUAUUGGACAAUGGGCGAAAGCCUGAUCCAGCCAUGCCGCGUGUGUGAAGAAGGCCUUCGGGUUGUAAAGCACUUUCAGUGGGGAAGAAAGCCUUGGGGCUAAUACCCUCGAGGAAGGACAUCACCCACAGAAGAAGCACCGGCUAACUCCGUGCCAGCAGCCGCGGUAAUACGGAGGGUGCGAGCGUUAAUCGGAAUUACUGGGCGUAAAGCGCGCGUAGGCGGUCUGAUAAGCCGGUUGUGAAAGCCCCGGGCUCAACCUGGGAACGGCAUCCGGAACUGUCAGGCUAGAGUGCAGGAGAGGAAGGUAGAAUUCCCGGUGUAGCGGUGAAAUGCGUAGAGAUCGGGAGGAAUACCAGUGGCGAAGGCGGCCUUCUGGACUGACACUGACGCUGAGGUGCGAAAGCGUGGGUAGCAAACAGGAUUAGAUACCCUAGUAGUC